GACGAACGCUGGCGGCGUGCUUAACACAUGCAAGUCGAACGCUGAAGCUCAGCUUUUGUUGGGUGGAUGAGUGGCGAACGGGUGAGUAACACGUGAGUAACCUGCCCCCUUCUUUGGGAUAACGCCCGGAAACGGGUGCUAAUACUGGAUAUUCACUGGUCUUCGCAUGGGGGUUGGUGGAAAGGGUUUUUCUGGUGGGGGAUGGGCCCGCGGCCUAUCAGCUUGUUGGUGGGGUGAUGGCCUACCAAGGCUUUGACGGGUAGCCGGCCUGAGAGGGUGACCGGUCACAUUGGGACUGAGGUACGGCCCAGACUCCUACGGGAGGCAGCAGUGGGGAAUAUUGCACAAUGGGCGCAAGCCUGAUGCAGCGACGCCGCGUGAGGGAUGGAGGCCUUCGGGUUGUGAACCUCUUUCGCUCAUGGUCAAGCCGCAACAAUGGUUGUGGUGAGGGUAGUGGGUAAAGAAGCGCCGGCUAACUACGUG
This 483-nucleotide ribosomal RNA is filed under the name uncultured bacterium. Its description in RNAcentral is "partial 16S ribosomal RNA". It matches the Rfam family "Bacterial small subunit ribosomal RNA", at positions 28 to 507 of the family's 1533-position model. The record is from RNAcentral.